This 206-nucleotide long non-coding RNA is filed under the name Elaeis guineensis (African oil palm). Its description in RNAcentral is "long non-coding RNA (EGUI_LNC030627)". The record is from RNAcentral. Lineage: Eukaryota; Viridiplantae; Streptophyta; Magnoliopsida; Arecales; Arecaceae.
AUGGUAAUCGUAAAAUUUAAAUCGUAUGUAUAUGAACGAUCCAAAACUAUAUAUCUCUUGAUACUUAUUAUUAAAGUUCUUAAGUAAUUAUACUUAUACUUUUAUAAAAUCUAUUUAAUGUGGAUGGUUUAUGUAUGUAUGGUUUGAAUUUUAUGAUCAUCACCGUAUAAAAGAUUAAAGUAGUAAGAAACAUCAUUUAUGUAAAA